ACGGAGGGUGCGAGCGUUGUCCGGAAUCACUGGGCGUAAAGGGCGCGUAGGCGGCGCGGUAAGUAGGGGGUGAAAUCCUGCGGCUCAACCGCAGAAUGGCCUUCUAGACUGCCGUGCUUGAGCACAGUAGAGGCAGACGGAAUUCCCGGUGUAGCGGUGGAAUGCGUAGAGAUCGGGAAGAACACCGGUGGCGAAGGCGGUCUGCUGGGCUGUUGCUGACGCUGAGGCGCGACAGCGUGGGGAGCAAACAGGA
RNAcentral lists this ribosomal RNA (253 nucleotides) under uncultured prokaryote. Its description in RNAcentral is "partial 16S ribosomal RNA". It matches the Rfam family "Bacterial small subunit ribosomal RNA", at positions 525 to 777 of the family's 1533-position model. The record is from RNAcentral.